Octopus sinensis (East Asian common octopus) is the source of this 176-nucleotide long non-coding RNA. RefSeq lists it as uncharacterized. The transcript is spliced from 3 exons. The record is from RefSeq and is a predicted model, not a curated record. Lineage: Eukaryota; Metazoa; Mollusca; Cephalopoda; Octopoda; Octopodidae.
ACGCUUUGAAAUACAUGUACAACAGAAACAGGAAGAAAGAAUAAGAGAAAGUUGUGGUGAAAGACUACUGCAGGGUUCGCCAACAACCCCUGCUAGAGCCUCGUAUUUUCGUUCAAUAAACAAUCACAACGCCCGGGCUAGGAAUCGAAACCGCGAUGCUACAACUGCGAGUCCGC